CCCUUAGAUGUCCUGGGCCGCACGCGCGCUACACUGACAUGUUCAACAAGCCUCCUAGUUCGACAGGAUUUGGGAAAUCUUUGAACGCAUGUCGUGAUAGGGAUAGAUCAUUGCAAUUAUUGAUCUUGAACGAGGAAUUCCUAGUAAACGCGAGUCAUCAGCUCGCAUUGAUUACGUCCCUGCCCUUUGUACACACCGCCCGUCGCACCUACCGAUUGAAUGUUUCGGUGAAGAUUCCGGAUAGGACUUUUUUGAUUUAUUUCAAUUUUGUCUUAAAAGCUAUCUAAACCUCAACAUUGAGAGGAAGGUGAAGUCGUAACA
This 321-nucleotide ribosomal RNA is filed under the name uncultured eukaryote. RNAcentral describes it as "partial 18S ribosomal RNA". It matches the Rfam family "Eukaryotic small subunit ribosomal RNA", at positions 1470 to 1796 of the family's 1831-position model. The record is from RNAcentral.